This 237-nucleotide unclassified non-coding RNA is filed under the name Hevea brasiliensis (rubber tree). Lineage: Eukaryota; Viridiplantae; Streptophyta; Magnoliopsida; Malpighiales; Euphorbiaceae. The record is from RNAcentral.
GGGGUCCAAACAUCUCCAACUAUCGGCCUAUGUUCCUACUUUGUUGAAACAAGAAACAGAAAAUCCAUAAAAUUUCAAGCUCUAAACCAUUGAUAGGAAGAGAAGAAGCCCAGCUUCAAACACUUGAAGGGUUUUUAGAAUGGGCAGAGAAGCUUGGCAUUUCAGAUUCACCUGGCACUAGCAGUUUCGUUUCACAAAAAUCAAGGUCUUGAUUGGGCAAUUCCCUCCGUCUCUCUU